CCUACGGGAGGCAGCAGUGGGGAAUUUUGGACAAUGGGCGCAAGCCUGAUCCAGCCAUGCCGCGUGCGGGAGGAAGGCCUUCGGGUUGUAAACCGCUUUUGUUCGGGAAGAAAUCGACUGGGUUAAUACUCUGGUCGGAUGACGGUACCGGAAGAAUAAGCACCGGCUAACUACGUGCCAGCAGCCGCGGUAAUACGUAGGGUGCGAGCGUUAAUCGGAAUUACUGGGCGUAAAGCGUGCGCAGGCGGUUUCGCAAGUCAGAUGUGAAAGCCCCGGGCUCAACCUGGGAACUGCAUUUGAAACUACGAGGCUAGAGUGUGUCAGAGGGGGGUAGAAUUCCACGUGUAGCAGUGAAAUGCGUAGAGAUGUGGAGGAAUACCGAUGGCGAAGGCAGCCCCCUGGGAUAACACUGACGCUCAUGCACGAAAGCGUGGGGAGCAAACAGGAUUAGAUACCCUGGUAGUCCACGCCCUAAACGAUGUCAACUAGUUGUCGGAGAAGANAUNUUGUACGACANNACGCGUGAGUAGACGCCGNGGAGGAGGUCGCGAAGAGUAAACUUACAAGUAAGUUAGAGGCGNGNGAGNGCGACGGACGACGACGAGGGAGGAGG
This 613-nucleotide ribosomal RNA is filed under the name uncultured bacterium. RNAcentral's name for it is "bacterial SSU rRNA". The stretch from base 1 to 535 matches the Rfam family "Bacterial small subunit ribosomal RNA", at positions 338 to 873 of the family's 1533-position model. The record is from RNAcentral.